This 235-nucleotide ribosomal RNA is filed under the name uncultured bacterium. RNAcentral describes it as "partial 16S ribosomal RNA". It matches the Rfam family "Bacterial small subunit ribosomal RNA", at positions 105 to 334 of the family's 1533-position model. The record is from RNAcentral.
GCGGACGAGGUGAGUAACACGUGGGCAACCUGCCCCUAGCUCUGGGACAACUCCGGGAAACCGGGGCUAAUACCGGAUACGACGUCGAGUGGCAUCUUUCGACGUGGAAAGUUUUUCGGCUAGGGAUGGGCCCGCGGCCUAUCAGCUUGUUGGUGAGGUAACGGCCCACCAAGGCGACGACGGGUAGCCGGCCUGAGAGGGCGACCGGCCACACUGGGACUGAGACACGGCCCAG